Molecule: RNA transcript, 2584 nt
Organism: Oryza brachyantha (malo sina)
Lineage: Eukaryota; Viridiplantae; Streptophyta; Magnoliopsida; Poales; Poaceae
Gene name: pentatricopeptide repeat-containing protein At5g08510
Exons: 3
Source: RefSeq, a predicted model, not a curated record
CGCCGCCGUCAGUGGCCUCGCCGGGCAGCUGCCCCUGCGUUCUGAAACGACUGGCACGUUUCUGCUUUCCCAUGGUCCUCCAUGCAGGGGGCGAAGCAGCUGCACGCGCGCGCGCUCCGCCGCGGCGUGCGCCGCCUGCAGCCGCUGCUCCUCCGCGUCCUCGCCGCCGGAGACCACCGCUACGCCGCCCGCCUGCUCGCCUCCUACCCGGCGCCUCCUUCGGCGCCGCUCCACAACCGCCUCCUCCACGCUCUCGCCUCCCUCCACCGUCCACACCCCCUCCUCCUGCCCUUCUUCUCCCGCCUCCAUCGCCUUGGCCUCCUCACUCCGCUGUCAUUCACGCUACUCUUCUCCUCCUCCGCCGCCGCCGCCGCCGCCUCCGCCUCCUCUUCUUCCACCCGCUUCUUCCUCUGCUCCCGCUCCCUGCUCAUCAAAUCAGGCCACUUCGCAUCAAGCGACCCCUUCCUCGCCUCCGCGCUUGUCUCUUUCUACGCCAAGAACCAUCGCCUGGUUGAAGCCAGGAAGGCCUUCGACGAAAUGACGUGCAGGGAUACAGCUGUGUACAACGCGCUUCUUUCGGCUUAUUCUAAAGGUGGCCUCAUUGAUUCGGCACAGAAGCUGUUCGAGGAAAUGCCUGAGAGGAAUGUGGUUUCCUGGACCGCAAUGGUGUCCGGGUACGCGCAGAACGGUCGCCAUGAGGAGGCGUUGGAAACGUUCUUGGAGAUGUGGGAGGGGGCAGGGGUACAACCUAAUGAGUUGACGGUGAGCAGUGUUCUUCCUGCAUGUGCAGCAGUUGGCGCGAUGGAGCUGGGGAGGAAGGUGGAGGAGUAUGCGAGGGGAAAAGGCCUCCUGAUGAAUGUGUAUGUGGCUAAUGCGCUACUGGAGAUGUAUUCCAAGUGUGGAAGCAUUCAACAAGCUUGGCAGGUGUUUCAGGGCAUCGGUCAUCGGCGGGAUCUCUGUUCUUGGAACUCAAUGAUCAUGGCAUUUGCUGUGCAUGGCCUGUGGAGGGAGGCCCUUGCCUUGUUCCAUAAGUUGAGGAUGGCAGGAUUCAGGCCAGAUGGUAUUACUUUUGUUGGGGUCAUCUUGGCUUGUACCCAUGGAGGCUUGGUAAAUGAAGGAAAACUGUUCUUUGACUCGAUGGAAGCAGAACUUGGCCUGAAACCAAGAAUUGAGCACUACGGCUGCAUGGUUGACCUUCUUGGGCGUGCUGGUCUCCUGAAAGAAUCAUACGGUCUAAUUGCGAGCAUGCCAGUGGAGCCUGAUGCUGUCAUUUGGGGGGCCUUGCUUGGUGCUUGCAGCUUCCAUGGCAAUAUAGAACUAGCAGAAUUAGCCGUGAAUAAGCUCAUCUACCUUGAGCCACAUAACACAGCAAACCUAGUGAUCCUUUCAAAUAUAUAUGCAUUAUAUGGUAAAUGGGACGGUGUUGCCCGAAUGUGGAAGUUACUGAAGGAGAAAGACCACAAGAAAUCAGCUGGGUACAGCUUCAUUGAGUUAGAUGGUAAGAUGCACAGGUUCCUUGUUGAGGAUAAGUCGCAUCCAAGAUUUGAGGAGGUCUACAAUACCCUUAACAGUGUCACAAUGACCAUGAAGCUGGUUGGCUUGGACAAUCUGCAAGAAUUGAAAGGCUAAUUUUUCUGUCAUUACUUGUUGUAGCCUUUAGUGCUGUAAUGCACAAGCAAUUUGAAGAAAGUGCAAUAUUAAGUUGUGAAAGAUUUCCUCUGAACUAUUUGCUCUGAUCUUUCAUGACAAAUUGGCAUGCAAAAGGCUGUACCAUGGAGACAAAAGACAUAAUGGACUGGAUAUUGAGUCCCUGGCACAUUUUUCAGUAGACCAAAAUGGCUCUCUUCUGUUCUUGUUAUUCAGUGGUACAAGACUACCAGGCAUAUCACAGCUAAAGUAUGUCAUUCACAGAUAUACCACAAGAUGCUGAAAGCAACUCCUGGCUAAGUUGUGAUCAUAAAGGCACAAAGAAGCUGAAAAGUCUGAUCUCAGACAGACAAACCCAAAGACUCAGUCAGCACUCGGAUGGUCCGCCGUUGUGGAAAACACUUCCAUUCAGGCCAAUUUCAAAAUUAGGGGCUUACCUAUUGAAGAAAAAGACACUCAACAUGUCUUCAAAGCACUGACACGGGACAAUAAUACAUUAAGUUUCAUUUACUUACGUUGCCUGUUUCUUUUGCUGGAACAAUUCACAGUUGGGAUAUUCCUGAGUACUUCAGCUGAGAAAGAUUUGGUUGGUUAAACAAAACUGUGCAUUAUAGAGCAUAUUUUCAGUCCUUUUAGGAGAAUGUAGCACAGAGUUGCAUUAGAGCUGUAGUAGUACCAUUUUGUUAUUACUCGGUUAGAGUUGUGAGUGGUCCCUUUAUUUGCACCAAGCUUUGUUUGUUAUAUUCCAGAUUUUCGUAUCCUGGUCAUCGUUGUCAUUUUCCUUCGAUACAAUUUGGAAGAGUAAGAGGCCUUGUGGGUCUUGACUUCUUCUGUAUAAUUAAAAACACACAUGUGCUUUGUGAUCAUUGAUAGCUUAUUGCAUUCAAGAGUUCUCAGCUGGGUGGCUGUUCCUUUUGAACCAUCAAUCAAAAAGAAA